This 498-nucleotide ribosomal RNA is filed under the name uncultured bacterium. Its description in RNAcentral is "partial 16S ribosomal RNA". It matches the Rfam family "Bacterial small subunit ribosomal RNA", at positions 28 to 508 of the family's 1533-position model. The record is from RNAcentral.
GAUGAACGCUGGCGGCGUGCCUAAUACAUGCAAGUCGAGCGAACAGACGAGGAGCUUGCUCCUCUGACGUUAGCGGCGGACGGGUGAGUAACACGUGGAUAACCUACCUAUAAGACUGGGAUAACUUCGGGAAACCGGAGCUAAUACCGGAUAAUAUAUUGAACCGCAUGGUUCAAUAGUGAAAGACGGUUUUGCUGUCACUUAUAGAUGGAUCCGCGCCGCAUUAGCUAGUUGGUAAGGUAACGGCUUACCAAGGCAACGAUGCGUAGCCGACCUGAGAGGGUGGGCGGCCACACUGGAACGGAGACACGGUCCAGACUCCUACGGGAAGCAGCAGUAGGGAAUCUUCCGGAAUGGGCGAAAGCUUGACGGAGCAACGCCGCGUGAGUGAUGAAGGUCGUCGGAUCGUAAAACUCUGUUAUUAGGGAAGAACAAAUGUGUAAGUAACUAUGCACGUCUUGACGGUACCUAAUCAGAAAGCCACGGCUAACUACGUGC